ACGCCGUAAACGAUGGGCACUUAGGUGUGGGAGUGUCGACUCNUCCCGUGCCGCAGCUAACGCAUUAAGUGCCCCGCCUGGGGAGUACGGCCGCAAGGCUNAAACUCAAAGGAAUUGACGGGGGCCCGCACAAGCAGCGGAGCAUGUGGUUUAAUUCGACGCAACGCGAAGAACCUUACCUGGGCUUGACAUGUGAGUGACCGCCGUGGAAACACGGUUUCCCUUAGGGGCACUUUNACAGGUGGUGCAUGGCGUNUGUCAGCUCGUGUCGUGAGAUGUUGGGUUAAGUCCCGCAACGAGCGCAACCCCUGUCGCAUGUUGCCAGCAUUUAGUUGGGGACUCAUGCGAGACUGCCGGUGACAAACCGGAGGAAGGUGGGGAUGACGUCAAGUCAUCAUGCCCCUUAUGUCCAGGGCUACACACGUGCAUACAUUGGCCGGCACAAAGGGCUGCGAUACCGCGAGGUGGAGCGAAUCCCAAGAAAGCCGGUCUCGGUUCGGAUUGGAGGCUGAAANUCUGCCUCCAUGAAGGCGGAGUUGCUAGUAAUCCCGGAUCUAGCAACGCCGGGGUGAAUACGUUCCCGGGCCUUGUACACACCGCCCGUCACACCACGAAAGCGGGCAACACCCGAAGCCGGUGACCCAACCCUUACGGGAGGGAGCCGUCGAAGGUGGGGCUCGUGAUUGGGGUGAAGUCGUAACAAGGUAGC
Molecule: ribosomal RNA, 709 nt
Filed under: uncultured Actinomycetes bacterium
Lineage: Bacteria; Bacillati; Actinomycetota; Actinomycetes
Description: bacterial SSU rRNA
Rfam family: Bacterial small subunit ribosomal RNA
Source: RNAcentral